Corticium candelabrum is the source of this 288-nucleotide long non-coding RNA. RefSeq lists it as uncharacterized. NCBI's taxonomy places the organism in Eukaryota, Metazoa, Porifera, Homoscleromorpha, Homosclerophorida, Plakinidae. The transcript has 2 exons. The record is from RefSeq and is a predicted model, not a curated record.
GUCUAAUGGCCGCCUGUCGAAGGGUGGUACAGCCAAUUCCAGGGACUGUUGCUAGAGUAUUCUCGAGGCUGAAGGUCUGCGGAUAGAGUAUUUGAUUGGGGCAUUUCGGAAAUUGAAAGAGAAAGAGAAAAGAGAAGGAAAGGUUCUAUUUAUAUAACCAUCAACGGUCCUUUACCACAAAUAAAAGCACGUACGUGCAGGUUGAAAUUAGACUGCUACGUAUGCGCCUAAACAAGUUUCCUAAGAACUAUACCUUUGUUUCUGCAGAAAGGUAAUCACUGCAUGGGG